UACGAAGGGGGGCUAGCGUUGUUCGGAAUUACUGGGCGUAAAGCGCACGUAGGCGGAUCGAUCAGUCAGGGGUGAAAUCCCAGGGCUCAACCCUGGAACUGCCUUUGAUACUGUCGAUCUGGAGUAUGGAAGAGGUGAGUGGAAUUCCGAGUGUAGAGGUGAAAUUCGUAGAUAUUCGGAGGAACACCAGUGGCGAAGGCGGCUCACUGGUCCAUUACUGACGCUGAGGUGCGAAAGCGUGGGGAGCAAACAGGG
Molecule: ribosomal RNA, 255 nt
Filed under: uncultured bacterium
Lineage: Bacteria
Description: partial 16S ribosomal RNA
Rfam family: Bacterial small subunit ribosomal RNA
Source: RNAcentral